GGCUUGUUUUCAGUUGCCUGCGGCUUAUUGGGAGGACUCAGGCAGCUAAAGCAAGUCUG
This 59-nucleotide microRNA precursor is filed under the name Gekko japonicus. RNAcentral's name for it is "Gja-Mir-1788_pre stem-loop". It matches the Rfam family "mir-1788 microRNA precursor family", at positions 11 to 69 of the family's 77-position model. The record is from RNAcentral. Lineage: Eukaryota; Metazoa; Chordata; Lepidosauria; Squamata; Gekkonidae.